ACAAUGGAGAGUUUGAUCCUGGCUCAGGAUGAACGCUAGCGGGAGGCCUAACACAUGCAAGCCGAGCGGUAGAGUAUCUUCGGAUACUUGAGAGCGGCGCACGGGUGCGGAACACGUGUGCAACCUGCCUUUAUCUGGGGGAUAGCCUUUCGAAAGGAAGAUUAAUACCCCAUAAUAUAUUGAGUGGCAUCACUUAAUAUUGAAAACUCCGGUGGAUAGAGAUGGGCACGCGCAAGAUUAGAUAGUUGGUAGGGUAACGGCCUACCAAGUCGAUGAUCUUUAGGGGGCCUGAGAGGGUGAUCCCCCACACUGGUACUGAGACACGGACCAGACUCCUACGGGAGGCAGCAGUGAGGAAUAUUGGACAAUGGGUGAGAGCCUGAUCCAGCCAUCCCGCGUGAAGGAUUAAGGUCCUAUGGAUUGUAAACUUCUUUUGUAUAGGGAUAAACCUACUCUCGUGAGAGUAGCUGAAGGUACUAUACGAAUAAGCACCGGCUAACUCCGUGCCAGCAGCCGCGGUAAUACGGAGGGUGCAAGCGUUAUCCGGAUUUAUUGGGUUUAAAGGGUCCGUAGGCGGAUGUGUAAGUCAGUGGUGAAAUCUCGCAGCUUAACUGCGAAACUGCCAUUGAUACUGCAUGUCUUGAGUAAAUUUGAAGUGGCUGGAAUAAGUAGUGUAGCGGUGAAAUGCAUAGAUAUUACUUAGAACACCAAUUGCGAAGGCAGGUCACUAAGAUUUAACUGACGCUGAUGGACGAAAGCGUGGGGAGCGAACAGGAUUAGAUACCCUGGUAGUCCACGCCGUAAACGAUGCUAACUCGUUUUUUGUGCUUCGGCAUGAGAGACUAAGCGAAAGUGAUAAGUUAGCCACCUGGGGAGUACGUUCGCAAGAAUGAAACUCAAAGGAAUUGACGGGGGCCCGCACAAGCGGUGGAUUAUGUGGUUUAAUUCGAUGAUACGCGAGGAACCUUACCAAGACUUAAAUGGGAAUUGACAGAUUUAGAAAUAGAUCCUUCUUCGGACAAUUUUCAAGGUGCUGCAUGGUUGUCGUCAGCUCGUGCCGUGAGGUGUUAGGUUAAGUCCUGCAACGAGCGCAACCCCUGUCGCCAGUUGCUACCAUUCAGUUGAGGACUCUGGCGAGACUGCCUACGCAAGUAGAGAGGAAGGUGGGGAUGACGUCAAAUCAUCACGGCCCUUACGUCUUGGGCCACACACGUAAUACAAUGGCCGGUACAGAGGGCAGCUACACAGCGAUGUGAUGCAAAUCUCGAAAGCCGGUCUCAGUUCGGAUUGGAGUCUGCAACUCGACUCUAUGAAGCUGGAAUCGCUAGUAAUCGCGCAUCAGCCAUGGCGCGGUGAAUACGUUCCCGGGCCUUGUACACACCGCCCGUCAAGCCAUGGAAGUCUGGGGUACCUGAAGUCGGUGACCGUAACAGGAGCUGCCUAGGGUAAAACAGGUAACUAGGGCUAAGUCGUAACAAGGUAGCCGUACCGGAAGGUGCGGCUGGAACAUCUCAUUUUAGAGACA
Molecule: ribosomal RNA, 1525 nt
Filed under: Epilithonimonas hispanica
Lineage: Bacteria; Pseudomonadati; Bacteroidota; Flavobacteriia; Flavobacteriales; Weeksellaceae
Description: bacterial SSU rRNA
Rfam family: Bacterial small subunit ribosomal RNA
Source: RNAcentral